GUGUCAGCAGCCGCGGUAAUACGGAGGAUCCAAGCGUUAUCCGGAAUCAUUGGGUUUAAAGGGUCCGUAGGCGGUUUUAUAAGUCAGUGGUGAAAUCCGGUAGCUCAACUAUCGAACUGCCAUUGAUACUGUAGAACUUGAAUUAUUGUGAAGUAACUAGAAUAUGUAGUGUAGCGGUGAAAUGCUUAGAUAUUACAUGGAAUACCAAUUGCGAAGGCAGGUUACUAACAAUACAUUGACGCUGAUGGACGAAAGCGUGGGGAGCGAACAGGAUUAGAAACCCUCGUAGUCC
This 292-nucleotide ribosomal RNA is filed under the name uncultured bacterium. RNAcentral's name for it is "partial 16S ribosomal RNA". It matches the Rfam family "Bacterial small subunit ribosomal RNA", at positions 505 to 796 of the family's 1533-position model. The record is from RNAcentral.